This 1474-nucleotide long non-coding RNA is filed under the name Triticum aestivum (bread wheat). RNAcentral's name for it is "long non-coding RNA (TAES_LNC003931)". The record is from RNAcentral. Lineage: Eukaryota; Viridiplantae; Streptophyta; Magnoliopsida; Poales; Poaceae.
GAGCUUCUUCGACAUCUGCAAUUGCUUAUGAAAAUGAGCCGAAGAUCUGCGUAAUAGUGCUGCGAUCAAAUGAAAAGAACAUUAACAGUUCCAACAGAUAGAACCAAAUACAAAAACCUACGUGUUAGCUGCAAUAAAUCAAAAGGUUCCAUGGUGAUAACAGUCGGUAUUGCACAGGGUAAAUAUAAACAUCUGAAUUAUCUUUGACCUAUGUUGUCAGUCUUUCAUAGAUGUAAAACAAUUUCUUGAGAAAAUCAAAUAUAUCUAGAACAAAGUUUAAAGGUAUCAUGAUAAAGUCAUACUCCCUUCAUCCCAAUUGACGUGGCACACGCGUUUCAAAUUACAAGUUUGACCAUCAAUUUAACCGACUAAACAUUAGUUAUCUGUCACAAAAUGUGAAUCACCAAAACUGUAUCCAGAAAAAGUUUUCAAUGGUAUGAUUAUUAUGACACAUACUCUCUCCAUAUCAAAAUAUAAGACAUUUUUGUAGGCUAGUUUAGCCUAUAAAGUCUUAUAUUUUGGUACAGAGGUAGUAUUAUUGAUGAAAUUAGUGGUCACAGUUAAAUCACGAAACGUGAGGACGCCGUGUAAAUGGGGAUGGUGGGAGUAUUACUCGAGAAUCCUACAGAUUAGUUCUUUUUCUUCUUUCAGAUACGAAUCGGACAUGGACAAGUUUGAAAUCGAUACUCCCCAUCUAACCAGUACUAAGAUCUGGUAAAACCUAUGAGAUCAACCAUGUACAUGAUGCAUCACCCCUCCAAAUUAAUCAAUGGAUGGCAAAUAUACAAACAGAAAUACUAGCUAACAAAUACAAUCUAGAUCACCCGCAAUGCAACUGGUGGUCUCUACAAGAGAACGGGGCCAAAAUUUCCAUGUACAAGGUAGACUGAUCAGUGUGUGUCAACAUCGUUGGAUCCACUUGGAUGGAAAACAGAGCAAGAACCCAUAUAAUAUCUUAUAAGGGACAUGUACACUUAGAUCACCUUGAUUUCCAGAAAAGAUGGCACUACAAAAAUAUUAAGCAGAAAAAUAGCCAAGAUAAUUGACUAGAUCUUGAGAAGAUCAGUACCACCAAAUGCUGGAUCUGUGAUGCAUUGAGCAAAUAAGUAGUAGUAUGUGAGAAAAUGGAGUAAAAGGGAGACUCACCGUGCACUGUUCAAGCUGCAACUCACUGGUAUUCCUCCUGCGCUUUUGACUCUUCUUUGGACUAGUCUCCUGUUACUAAACAAACUCUACACAAUUAGCACUCCCAGAAGUAGAGGUUCCUACAUAGAUAAUUCCUCACUUUACAAUCAGUUUGUGUCUCCAAUGGCACAUGUUUCAUGCAGGUAGCAUAUCAAGAAUCUAGAUGUUUAUGCCUUUUAGCAACAAAAAGGAAAAAUAAAGCGGCACACAAUGAAAUAUGAUUCUUGGUCUAUAAAGGACUAGAAUAUUGUGUAUGCAUAUCAGUAAAACAGCCAAUGAUCACAUGUCU